Rhagoletis pomonella (apple maggot) is the source of this 1476-nucleotide long non-coding RNA. RefSeq lists it as uncharacterized. The transcript is spliced from 4 exons. The record is from RefSeq and is a predicted model, not a curated record. Lineage: Eukaryota; Metazoa; Arthropoda; Insecta; Diptera; Tephritidae.
UUAAAAAAGAAAAACUAUUUUUGCUGUACAAAUGUCCCACCCGUGACGAUGGAAUACCCCAACAGUCAAAAAAUGUGGAUACGAUGUUGUGGCCAUUGUUAGCGAUUUGGGUGGAAGUAACAGAGCACUAUACAAUGAGCUUGAAGUGGAUAUGCAGAAGCCUUGAUAUAUUUAGACAUAGUUCUAAAAUUCCGAAAAUACAUAUUAAUACUUUUGUUUCUUCUUUUACAGGUUUUCACAUGAAGGGGACAGAAUUGUAGUUUUUGCUGAUGUUCCCCAUUUAAUCAAACUGCAAAGGAAUCAUUUUGUUGAUCACGGAUUCCUCAUAAAUGGAAAAGUAAUUAAAAAGGACAUCAUUUUCAAACUUUUGCGUUUACUUCCAGUGAUCUGUCAAUCACCCACAAAAUUUCAAAAAUCAUUUGCUUGUUACGGGAGCAGAAAGGCAAAAGGUUAAACUAGCUACAAAAUUAUUCUCGCACACCAUUGCUCAAGCCAUAUCACGAGAAGCUAGUUUGGGCUUAUUAGAGGACGAGAAUUGGGAAGAAUGCUUUAAACUUUUUAAAAUUACGAAUGACUGGUUUGACUUAAUGAAUGUCAGAGUGCCCAAAGAAGGAGUAAGGGAGCGACUACAUGCCUAUGGUUUGGCUUUAAAUACCCAGAAUAAUACAUACAUAUGUAUAUAUGACUUACAUUGUAAUACUUAGAUUUUUGUCCAAAAAGGUAUCCUUCAAAGUAACAAUGCGUUGAAAUUACUUUUGUCUGAUAAAUACAAAAUCGACUACAUAUUGACGUAUCGCCUAAAUCAAGAUGUUUUGGAAAUUUUUUUUGGCAUUAUUAGAUCGAAAAGAGAGCUUCACGACCACCCUGACCACCAAGAGUUUAAAUAUAGGCUGCGGUCAUACAUACUUGGGCACAACAAAGGUGUAUUGUCUGAAGGAGGGAACGUUGAGGUCGACGACACCCCAGACUUAGAAGGGAAUUAUUUAUCUCUAACCGGUAACAUGUUACAACGGGUCUCAGUUGAGAUGAACUCCACUGAUGUAUCUGAGCAAAGUGAAGAUUUAGAAGUCCUGAACAUCGACGGUUUGGAGAAUUUGGCAGGAUACAUCUGCCACAAACUUGGAAAAGAUAAUCCGGAAAUCUGCAUGAAUCCAGAAACUGAUUCGUCAUAUACUUGGGUGAAUCAUGUUUCUGAAGGAGGACUUUCAAAGCCAACUGAUAUGUUGAUGGAGCAUAUGAAAGCACUGCUAGCAGUUUUUGAUGAGGUGAAUGGCAGUGAAUUGUAUAUAUGUAAAGAUUAUCUUAAGAAACACUUAGACCUAAGUAGUCAUGUAAAUUGUAGUCAAAAAGUAAAAGAACUGUUUUUUAGAGCUAGAAUGUAUUUCAGAAUCCGAUCACUAAAUAAGUCUAUUGUAGAAAAUCAAUACAGUAAAAAGCGUAAAUUGAAUAAAACAGUAACUUGAAUUCCCAAACUUA